AAUAGAUACCCGGGUAGUCCACGCCGUAAACGAUGGAUACUAGCUGUUUGACCGCAAGGUUGAGUGGCUAAGCGAAAGUGAUAAGUAUCCCACCUGGGGAGUACGAACGCAAGUUUGAAACUCAAAGGAAUUGACGGGGGCCCGCACAAGCGGUGGAGCAUGUGGUUUAAUUCGAUGAUACGCGAGGAACCUUACUAGGGCUUAAAUGUAGUUUGACGUAUUUGGAAACAGGUAUUUCUUCGGACAAAUUACAAGGUGCUGCAUGGUUGUCGUCAGCUCGUGCCGUGAGGUGUCAGGUUAAGUCCUAUAACGAGCGCAACCCCUGUUGUUAGUUGCCAGCGAGUAAUGUCGGGAACUCUAACAAGACUGCCAGUGUAAACUGCGAGGAAGGUGGGGAUGACGUCAAAUCAUCACGGCCCUUACGGUCCUGGGCCACACACGUGCUACAAUGGACGGUACAGAGAGCAGCCACUUAGCAAUAAGGAGCGAAUCUAUAAAACCGUUCUCAGUUCGGAUCGGAGUCUGCAACUCGACUCCGUG
Molecule: ribosomal RNA, 540 nt
Filed under: uncultured bacterium
Lineage: Bacteria
Description: bacterial SSU rRNA
Rfam family: Bacterial small subunit ribosomal RNA
Source: RNAcentral